CCUACGGGAGGCAGCAGUGAUUAAUAUUUUUCAAUUUUCUUUAUCCUGAACCAGCCACGUCGCGUGAGGGAAGACGGUCCUAUGGAUUGUAAACCUCUUUAGGCGGGGAGCAAUGCCGGGCACGCGUGCCCGGAGGGAGAGUACCCGCAGAAUAAGCAUCGGCUAACUCCGUGCCAGCAGCCGCGGUAAUACGGAAGAUGCGAGCGUUAUCCGGAUUUAUUGGGUUUAAAGGGUGCGUAGGCGGAUUUUUAAGUCAGCGGUAAAAUGUCCGGGCUCAACCCGGGCCGGCCGUUGAAACUGGGGAUCUUGAGUGGGCGAGAAGUAUGCGGAAUGCGUGGUGUAGCGGUGAAAUGCAUAGAUAUCACGCAGAACUCCGAUUGCGAAGGCAGCAUACCGGCGCCCGACUGACGCUGAGGCACGAAAGCGUGGGGAUCGAACAGGAUUAGAUACCCUGGUAGUC
This 460-nucleotide ribosomal RNA is filed under the name uncultured bacterium. RNAcentral's name for it is "partial 16S ribosomal RNA". It matches the Rfam family "Bacterial small subunit ribosomal RNA", at positions 338 to 795 of the family's 1533-position model. The record is from RNAcentral.